RNAcentral lists this ribosomal RNA (495 nucleotides) under uncultured bacterium. RNAcentral describes it as "SSU rRNA". It matches the Rfam family "Bacterial small subunit ribosomal RNA", at positions 26 to 521 of the family's 1533-position model. The record is from RNAcentral.
AGGACGAACGCUGGCGGCGUGCUUAACACAUGCAAGUGGAGCGACGAACCGGGGCUUGCCCCGGGGCAGAGCCGCGAACGGGUGAGUAACACGUGGGUCACCUGCCUCAAUGACCGGGACAACCCGAGGAAACUCGGGCUAAUACCGGAUGUGCCCGCAAGGGGAAAGGAAGCUUCGGCCUCCGCAUUGAGAUGGGCCCGCGGCCCAUUAGCUUGUUGGUGAGGUAACGGCUCACCAAGGCUUCGAUGGGUAGCUGGUCUGAGAGGACGAUCAGCCACACUGGGACUGAGACACGGCCCAGACUCCUACGGGAGGCAGCAGUGGGGAAUCUUGCGCAAUGCGCGAAAGCGUGACGCAGCAACGCCGCGUGGGGGAAGAAGGCUUUCGGGUUGUAAACCCCUUUCAGUUGGGACGAAGCUUCUCCGGUGAAUAGCCGGAUGGAGUGACGGUACCUUCACAAGAAGCACCGGCUAACUACGUGCCAGCAGCCGCGGU